UACGGAGGAUGCGAGCGUUAUCCGGAUUUAUUGGGUUUAAAGGGUGCGUAGGCGGGCUUUUAAGUCAGCGGUAAAAAUUCGGGGCUCAACCCCGUCCGCCCGUUGAAACUGGGGGUCUUGAGUGGGCGAGAAGAAGGCGGAAUGCGUGGUGUAGCGGUGAAAUGCAUAGAUAUCACGCAGAACCCCGAUUGCGAAGGCAGCCUUCCGGCGCCCUACUGACGCUGAGGCACGAAAGCGUGGGGAGCAAACAGG
This 252-nucleotide ribosomal RNA is filed under the name uncultured bacterium. RNAcentral describes it as "partial 16S ribosomal RNA". It matches the Rfam family "Bacterial small subunit ribosomal RNA", at positions 524 to 776 of the family's 1533-position model. The record is from RNAcentral.